UACAGAGGUCUCAAGCGUUGUUCGGAUUCAUUGGGCGUAAAGGGUGCGUAGGUGGCGGGGCAAGUUUGGUGCGAAAUCCUAGGGCUCAACCCUGGAACUGCACUGAAUACUGCUUUGCUAGAGUACUGGAGAGGGAACUGGAAUUUACGGUGUAGCAGUGAAAUGCGUAGAUAUCGUAAGGAAGACCAGUGGCGAAGGCGAGUUCCUGGACAGUUACUGACACUGAGGCACGAAGGCCAGGGGAGCAAACGGG
RNAcentral lists this ribosomal RNA (253 nucleotides) under uncultured bacterium. RNAcentral's name for it is "partial 16S ribosomal RNA". It matches the Rfam family "Bacterial small subunit ribosomal RNA", at positions 524 to 776 of the family's 1533-position model. The record is from RNAcentral.